This is a non-coding RNA of Candidatus Kuenenbacteria bacterium CG1_02_38_13, 3402 nucleotides long. Lineage: Bacteria; Candidatus Kueneniibacteriota. The record is from Rfam.
AUUCGCAAUUUUUAAUGCAUAUGGUGGAUGCCUCGACUUAAAAAGGCGAUGAAGGGCGUAGCAAUCUGCGAUAAGCCACGGGGAGCUGAUAAGCAAGCUUUGAUCCGUGGAUUUCCGAAUGGGGAAACCCAACUACGAAUUGUAGUUUUCCCGCUCAAUUUUUUAUCUUUAGAAAUAAUCAUUUUAAUCUUUCAAAAUAAAAAUUUGAGCGGGAAGUAAACCCGCUGAAGUGAAACAUCUCAGUAAGCGGAGGAAAAGAAAACAACGCUUGCGCUUUGCGCAGGCAAUUCCCCUAGUAGUGGCGAACGAACGGGGAACAGUCUAAACCCUAAAAAGUGUUUAUUAACGAAGCUAAUAUAUUUAAUAUUAAUGGAUUUAAUGAUAAAGGCGCGAGCCGUUGCUUUUUUGGGGGUUGCAAGGGACUCUGAUUUCUGUCUCUCGCGAGACAGAAGAUAAGUUACAAAAGUACUAUUUAGCCGAACUCCGAUGGAAAUCGGAGACCAAAGAAGGUGAUAGUCCAGUAGGCAAAAAAUAGUACUCUUAUCCUAUGAGUUUUCUUAAGUAGGCCAGGACACGUGAAAUCCUGCCUGAAGCUGGGUCGACUAUGAUCCAAGACUAAAUACUUUUUAAGAUCGAUAGUGAACAAGUACCGUGAGGGAAAGGUGAAAAGCAUCCCGGUAAGGGAGAUGAAAUAGUAUCUGAAACCAUAUGUUUACAAGGAGUCAGAGCCAUUUGCUAUUGCAAAUGAAAUUUCCAAGCAACAGAUAUAAUUCCCGAAAAAAUUUUCAAUAAUUGAUUUUCAAUCCUUAAAACUCUAAAUGUUGUUUUGGGAUUUGAAUUUUGAAAUUUGAUAUUUAUUUGGAUUGUUAUUUGAAAAUUGGAAAUUCCCUUGCGAUAGCAAGGGCGAUGGCGUGCCUAUUGAAGAAUGAGCCAACGAGUUUAUGUAUAUUGCUUGUUUAACCCCUCGCUUUUUAGUUGAUAUCCCGCUAAGCCAAACGAACAGAAGCGCUGUUAAUAAAACUUCUAUUGACUGCUAAUAAAUUUAUUUCAAUGGUAAAUUAUUAAAAUUAAUCGACUAAAAGGUGAGGGGGAAGACAUAGGGAAACCGAGUCUUAACCGGGCGAUUUUGGUAGUAUAUAUAAGACCCGAAACCAAGUGAGCUAGCCAUGACCAGGAUGAAUCCCGCGUAACAGCGGGAAAAGGUCCGAACCCAAGCGCCGUGCAACACGCUGGGAUGAGUUGUGGUUAGAGGUGAAAUUCCAAUCGAACUUGGUAAUAGCUGGUUCUCCUCGAAAUAGCUUUAGGGCUAGCGACAAUUAAUAUUAUGCAGGGGGUAGAGCACUGGAUGGGAUUUGAGCUCGCAAGAGUAUCUGUCCCAAUCAAACUCCGAAUACCUGUAUAAGUUCCUGUCAGUCAGACUAUGGGGGCUAAGCUCCAUUAGUCAAAAGGGAAACAGCCCAGAUCUUCAGCUAAGGUCCCUAAAUCUACGUUAAGUGUUAAAGGUGGUAAUUAAUCUUAUACAACUAGGAGGUUGGCUUAGAAGCAGCCAUCCUUUAAAGAAAGCGUAACAGCUCACUAGUCAAGAAUUUUUGCGCCGAAAAUUUAUCGGGGCUAAACGUAGUACCGAAGCUAAGGCCCUUCACGCAUUUUUGCUGUAAAUUCUUUACCGCAAAAAUGCGUGAAGGGGGUAGAGGAGUGUUCUAUAUCCGUUGAACCAGUAUUCGUGAGGAGCUGGGGAGAAUAUAGAAGUAAGAAUGUUGGCAUGAGUAGCAAAAAGGCCGGUGAGAAUCCGGCCCACCGAAAAUCUAAGGUUUCCUGGGCAACGGCAAUCGACCCAGGGUUAGGCGGGCCUAACCGUUCACCUGAAAAGGUGAGGGGGAUGGAUGAGUGCGUUAAUAUUCGCACCCUGCUUUAUUCUUAUCUUUCAACGGACGCAUCUUGAAAACUGGAGCACGUUUUGGCUAUAUGUGUCUAGCUCAAAAGCGCUUGCGCUUUUGAGCGGGCGAAGUGAAACCUCCGGGUGGAUCAAAGUUUAGCGGACAAGGUGCCAAGAAAAAUUUGAAAGUAACGGGAUUAAGCAACCGUACCGUAAACCGACGCAGGUAGAUGAGGCGAGAAGCCUAAGGUGUACGAGAGAACCCUCAUUAAGGAACUCGGCAAAACAGCGGCCGUAACUUCGGAAUAAGGCCUACCCACGAGAUUGGUCGCAAGACUUUUAUUUCGUGGGUCUCAGCGAAAGACCCCAAGCGACUGUUUACCAAAAACACAGGUCUCUGCUAAGUCGUAAGACUAUGUAUAGAGGCUGAUGCCUGGCCAGUGUCCGAACGUCAAGAUGAACCGUCAUUUUCCGAUUUAUCGGAGAGGCAGCGGUGAUUCCAAGCGCGGAUGAACGCCGGCGAUAACUAUAAUCGUCCUAAGGUACCGAAAUUCCUUGACGGGUAAGUUCCGUCCUGCAGGAAUGGCAUAACGAUUUGGGGACUGUCUUGAUGAGGGACUCGGCGAAAUUGCAAUGCCGGUAAAGAUGCCGGCUACUCACAGUUAGACGAAAAGACCCCGUGAAGCUUUACUACAACUUGAUAUUGAUAUAUAAAAUGUUCAUGUUCAGAAUAGGUGGGAGCCUUCGGGCGCCAGUGAGAUACCACCCUUGGCGCUUUGUAUAUCUAACCCUUCACUUUUAUAUUAAAAAUUAUUUUAUGUGUUAAACAUAAAAUCACAAAUUUUGAUGUAAAAGUGAAGGGAACAGUAUCUGGCGGGUAGUUUGAGUGGGGCGCUCGCCUCAUAAAAUGUAACUGAGGCGUUUAAAGGUUGGCUAGCUGCGGAUGGAAAUCGCAGUGAUAGGGUAAACCCACAAGCCAACUUUACUGCAAGACCUACAAGUCGCGCAGUUGCGAAAGCAUAAGUUAGUGAACCGACCAUCUCAUAUAGGAGAAUGGAAGAUCAACGAAUAAAAGUUACUCCGGGGAUAACAGGCUAGUCGCGCCCAAGCGUCCAUAGCGACGGCGCGGUUCGGCACCUCGAUGUCGGCCCAUCGCAUCCUGGGGGUGUACAAGCUCCCAAGGGUUUGGCUGUUCGCCAAUUAAAGCGGUACGCGAGCUGGGUUCAAAACGUCGUAAGACAGUUUGGUCUCCUAUCUACUGUGAGCGUGUAAAAAUCUUGAGGGGCCCAUUCUCUAGUACGAGAGGACCGAGAAUGACGAAUCUCUGGUGUUCCAGCUGUGUGUGCCACAUGCAUGCUGGGUAGCUACAUUCGGGUUGGAUAAGCGCUGAAAGCAUAUAAGCGCGAAGCCGUUCCCAAGAUUAGGAUUUUUUAACCACCUGGAAGACUACCAGGUUGAUAGGCAGUCGGGUACAAGUGCAGUAAUGCAUUCAGCCUAGGCUGUACUAAUUGGUUUUUUGCGAAUUC